ACGAACGCUGGCGGCAUGCCUAACACAUGCAAGUCGAACGAGACCUUCGGGUCUAGUGGCGCACGGGUGCGUAACGCGUGGGAACCCGCCCUUAGGUUCGGAAUAACUCCCCGAAAGGGGUGCUAAUACCGGAUAAUGUCUUCGGACCAAAGAUUUAUCGCCUUUGGAUGGGCCCGCGUUGGAUUAGCUAGUUGGUAGGGUAAAAGCCUACCAAGGCGACGAUCCAUAGCUGGUCUGAGAGGAUGAUCAGCCACACUGGGACUGAGACACGGCCCAGACUCCUACGGGAGGCAGCAGUGGGGAAUAUUGGACAAUGGGCGAAAGCCUGAUCCAGCAAUGCCGCGUGAGUGAUGAAGGCCUUAGGGUUGUAAAGCUCUUUUACCCGGGAUGAUAAUGACAGUACCGGGAGAAUAAGCUCCGGCUAACUCCGUG
RNAcentral lists this ribosomal RNA (432 nucleotides) under uncultured bacterium. RNAcentral describes it as "partial 16S ribosomal RNA". It matches the Rfam family "Bacterial small subunit ribosomal RNA", at positions 29 to 507 of the family's 1533-position model. The record is from RNAcentral.